GGGCGGUUAACUCAGCGGGAGAGUGCUACCCUCACACGGUAGAAGCCACUGGUUCAAUCCCAGUACCGCCCACCA
RNAcentral lists this transfer RNA (75 nucleotides) under Deltaproteobacteria bacterium. RNAcentral's name for it is "tRNA-Val". It matches the Rfam family "tRNA". Rfam says of the family: Transfer RNA (tRNA) molecules are approximately 80 nucleotides in length. Their secondary structure includes four short double-helical elements and three loops (D, anti-codon, and T loops). Lineage: Bacteria; Pseudomonadati; Myxococcota; Myxococcia. The record is from RNAcentral.